Molecule: ribosomal RNA, 495 nt
Filed under: uncultured bacterium
Lineage: Bacteria
Description: partial 16S ribosomal RNA
Rfam family: Bacterial small subunit ribosomal RNA
Source: RNAcentral
GACGAACGCUGGCGGCGUGCCUAAUACAUGCAAGUAGAACGCUGAAGGAGGAGCUUGCUCUUCUGGAUGAGUUGCGAACGGGUGAGUAACGCGUAGGUAACCUGCCUGGUAGCGGGGGAUAACUAUUGGAAACGAUAGCUAAUACCGCAUAAAAUUGAUUAUUGCAUGAUAGUCAAUUAAAAGGUGCAAUUGCAUCACUACCAGAUGGACCUGCGUUGUAUUAGCUAGUUGGUGAGGUAACGGCUCACCAAGGCAACGAUACAUAGCCGACCUGAGAGGGGGAUCGGCCACACUGGGACUGAGACACGGCCCAGACUCCUACGGGAGGCAGCAGUAGGGAAUCUUCGGCAAUGGACGGAAGUCUGACCGAGCAACGCCGCGUGAGUGAAGAAGGUUUUCGGAUCGUAAAGCUCUGUUGUAAGAGAAGAACGAGUGUGAGAGUGGAAAGUUCACACUGUGACGGUAUCUUACCAGAAAGGGACGGCUAACUACGUG